This 492-nucleotide ribosomal RNA is filed under the name uncultured bacterium. RNAcentral describes it as "partial 16S ribosomal RNA". It matches the Rfam family "Bacterial small subunit ribosomal RNA", at positions 29 to 507 of the family's 1533-position model. The record is from RNAcentral.
AGUGAACGCUGGCGGUAGGCCUAACACAUGCAAGUCGAACGGCAGCACAUUAAGAGCUUGCUCUUACGGGUGGCGAGUGGCGGACGGGUGAGGAAUACAUCGGAAUCUACUUUUUCGUGGGUGAUAACGUAGGGAAACUUACGCUAAUACCGCAUACGACCUACGGGUGAAAGCAGGGGAUCUUCGGACCUUGCGCGAUUGAAUGAGCCGAUGUCGGAUUAGCUAGUUGGCGGGGUAAAGGCCCACCAAGGCGACGAUCCGUAGCUGGUCUGAGAGGAUGAUCAGCCACACUGGAACUGAGACACGGUCCAGACUCCUACGGGAGGCAGCAGUGGGGAAUAUUGGACAAUGGGCGCAAGCCUGAUCCAGCCAUACCGCGUGGGUGAAGAAGGCCUUCGGGUUGUAAAGCCCUUUUGUUGGGAAAGAAAAGCAGCAGGUUAAUACCCCGCUGUUCUGACGGUACCCAAAGAAUAAGCACCGGCUAACUUCGUG